This 72-nucleotide transfer RNA is filed under the name Caulochytrium protostelioides. It matches the Rfam family "tRNA". From Rfam's summary of the family: Transfer RNA (tRNA) molecules are approximately 80 nucleotides in length. Their secondary structure includes four short double-helical elements and three loops (D, anti-codon, and T loops). Lineage: Eukaryota; Fungi; Chytridiomycota; Caulochytriomycetes; Caulochytriales; Caulochytriaceae. The record is from Rfam by way of RNAcentral.
AGUCCCAUAGUGUAGUGGUUAGCACAUGAGACUUUGAAUCUCAUGACCCGAGUUCGAAUCUCGGUGGGACCU